GGCUGGUCUGAUGGCAGUGGGUUAUCAGAACUUAUUAACAUUAGUGUCACUAAAGUUGGUAUACCACCCCCCCACUGCUAAAUUUGACUGGCUUUAA
Cavia aperea (Brazilian guinea pig) is the source of this 97-nucleotide unclassified non-coding RNA. It matches the Rfam family "Y RNA". From Rfam's summary of the family: Y RNAs are components of the Ro ribonucleoprotein particle (Ro RNP), in association with Ro60 and La proteins. Lineage: Eukaryota; Metazoa; Chordata; Mammalia; Rodentia; Caviidae. The record is from Ensembl.